AUGUUAGGUGAUAACAGAACUUUCUCUUUCUUCUAGCAGGAGGAAGUUGCAAUUGAACUCAUCUUCCCAGAGCCCAGAGUGGUUUUCUCGCUCCCGUAAGAGGUAGCUGCUACUUAUCAAAGGUUCCAGCUCUCUAGAUGCUACAAACACGAAGUUAUUUCAAUAAUACAUAUCUAAACCAGACUGCAAGGCUAACAUCAAAAAAGGAUUGAAAUGCUGUUUUUCUUCCCUGGUACAAUGUUAAAGCUUUAAACUCUUGUCAAUGAUGUGAUGUUUCAUCUGCAAUGAUCUACACUAGAAAAAUAAAAAUGUAGUUACUGACAAAAAAGCAGGAACUACUGCUCUAAGGAAAAAAGGACAGCUACAUGAGGACCACACAACUCCUGGAAGAGGUUUCCCUGGCAACACAACUUUUCCAUUCAUCUGGUUGCAGUGUUUUCAUCCAGUAGCCUGUCACCUCACUCAAAAGCAGGGCAAUGGAGAGAAAGAAACUUACCAAGUUUUUUCUUUUAACUAGAGAGUAGCCUACUUAUUGGGCCCUGCAAUUAAUUUCAGUACUCCAGGCAGAUUUAUAAAGGAAGCUGCUGGAAGGAAUUCAUUCCCUUUUUGCUGUUCUGCCUUCCACCUUCCACUGUGUGAGGACACUGCAAGAAAGCCCUCAUCAGACACCAACUGCCAGCACCUAGAUCUUGGAAUUCUCAGCCUCCAGAACUGUGAGAAACACGUUUCUGUUUUUCUAUAAAAUAAUAAUAAUAAAAAACUUCCAUGCAGGAAAAAAAAUCAAGUUCAAAGGUCCUGUGGUGAGGGCAUACCAGCUUUGUUUGAGAAGCAGUAAUCAUGCCUGUGUGACUGUAAUGAAAGAAUAAAAGAGAAAUGAGCACAGAAGAAUAUAAUGUAGUCCUUUUCAUUUUAAGCAAGAAAUUUGGCUUCAAUUCUAAAUGUGAUAAGAAAAAAACAGAAGGUUCCAAACUGAGAAGUGACAUAAUAUGAAAUGUUUUAACAGAAUCACCUUGUUACCAUAUUGCAAAUAAAAUGAAAGUGCAUCAAGGGCAGAAGUAGGAAGGCAAGUUAUGAGGUCAUUUUGAUAAUCCAGAGGAGCUGGGAUGAUGACUUACAGCAGUAUAGUAGCAAGGGUUGGGUGAGAACGUGGAAUCCUGGGUAUAUAUUAAAGUUUCAGCAAAAAGGAUUUAUAGAUGAAACAGAUAUGGGUUAUGAGAAAGAGUCAAGUUAAAGAUUAUAUCAAAAUUUUUUAUCUGAACAACUGGUAGUAUUGUGGUGAAUCCUUACCCCAUCAAUUUACGUGACCGAUAACUGAGUGGGAACAUUAAGGAAGGGAUGGUUUGAGUGAGAAUCAGGAUCUCAGUUUGGAAAUAUUAAGUUGAAUAUGCCUAUUUAAUAAUCAAAUGAAAAAUAGUAUUUUUGUAAUUUUCAGUAUUUAUUUGGCAAGAGAUUAAAUAAUCUAUAGCAUUGUUACUACUUUCUCUUUUUCAUAAAAGUUAUUUUGGUAUAAAAUCAACCUGACUGGGAACUAUCCAAAUAUAUAAGCCUUUAGCUUUGACCUAUUACUUAUAUUUUUUUGCCAUUAAUAAUAUGAACAUCCACUAAACAAGAACUUGAGACUAUAACUCUUCUCUAUUAAAUCUUCAUAUUAAAUUAGCCAUUUAAAUAGGAUUAUUAUUUUCAUUUAUUGCUGAAUACUUUCCAUUACAUUCAAACUUAUUGAGACAUCCUUAAAUUUUGUAAUUUAUUUAACGGAUUAAUUCCUUAGCUUCUAAACUGGUUUUCUGUACGGCAACCCUAUUUUCUUCUUAAUAACUCAUCAUCUACAUCCCCCAAUGUCUUAUUUUUCCAAAACAAAAGUGCACUAAUGCCCUUCUAGGGCAAAAAUUUCUUUAAUGGCUUUCUAUUGUUAUAGAUAAAGUUCAAACUUAUUAUGACGGCCUAUAAUUUUGGGGAAAAAACUCACCUAAAAACAGUUUUUAAAAGAUUAGAAUUCAAAUGCUUGAAAUUUCAGUUAUUUUAUGAGCUUUCUAUUCAAACAUUUCAGGGAGCUAAGACAUUACAUACUACACUACUACUACUACUACAAAUAAUAAUAAUAACAACAAUUAUAGUUACUCAUCUCAGUUUUGGCAGAGGAUACCAUUUAUAUAAAGAAUGUAAUUUGAUUGUAGCUAUUAAAAUAGUUACUAGACAAGAACUAGGAUGAUGGUAACAUUGACUUUUUAUCUGAAUCCUGGCUAUAUGUUUUCUGUUUGAAAAAAAAGUCAUUAAGUAUAAAAUUAUAAUUUUUAUAAUUUUGGAAUACAUAUUAUAAUAACACAUUUUUUUUAAACUGAGAAUUUAAGAUUUAAAAAGUACAGUAGGGGAAAGAAAAGGAAAAUAUAUUUUCUAUGUGCUUGUUUUAAUAAAUAAUGCCACCGAGGAUGUAAGUUUUCAAUGUCUAAUUAUUAAAUCAGCAUUACUUUCAUUAUUUUAACAACCUUCAUGGGGUUCUUAUAUUGAGACUCAAAUUAAAUAUGUAAUAUUAAUCCUAAUAUAGCUAUUUUUUCCUAACAAGAGCAUAAAACUUCCAAAAUUUCAUUCUGCAUAUUUAUAACUGAAUUUAUGACUGACAUAUUUCUUUUUCAAAUCAUGUCCAUCAUUAUAUGAACGGGUACUGAAUUUAUCCAUAUUUACUUACGUCUUUCUUCAGCCCCUCUGUCAACCCACUUAUCUUUUUGAUAGCUCAGUGAGCUGGCACUAGUUUUGUACCUCAGGAUGUUUACUCUGGCUAAUUUUGCCACUGAUCUUCUAAUGUCUGGUGCUUGGCAAUAAAGUCCCAGUUGGAGUUUUCAACCAACAGCAGUUUGCAUUCAGUUACUUAAUCUCUGUUUUGCAAUCUUAGUACCUUCCUUUCUGAUUGAAUGAAGACAGUUGCUCCUAGGGAUACCUGAACCUGAAAUGAACUGAAAAUAUUUUAUAGCUUUUCAAUUUGCCAGGCAGUAGAAGAAAAAUUCAUACCAAUCCCAUUGCUACAAACAGCUGUUACUAUAAGGUGAUAUUGCUAUGGAAUCCUAAAAUAGAACAAGGCAAAUACCAUCCCUGUGAGGGUUCUACUAUAUUUUGUGGAUCUCCAGCUGGAAACUUAAUUGUAAUAUAAACUGAGCAUACAGAAACAGCUUUCCUGCUUCUAUUCAGCAUACUUUCACUGAAUUGGAUAAUUUAAUCAAUAAGUUACAACACUCUUUAGUGUGAAGCUGCAUAAAAUUCUAGAAGGAGAGAAAAUUUGAUCUUUGAUUUCUAUUAUCUUUAUCUUCCUGCAUUAUAUUCUUCCAUGACUUUAGCUAAUACCUCUCCCCAUCACAAUAAAGUCUUUAAACACUUAGAAUCUAUUUUCUGUUUCUUGUGUCCAUAUCCUAUAACCAAAGACCACCAGGAACACCCCUGAGUUUAUUCUUGUUUACAGCAAUAAAUACUUCACACAAUGGGGAAAUGUGAAGUUAUCUCAGUAAGAGAGUAUUAAAAGAACCUAUUGUAUCAUUUGGGAUUUGGUUAUUUGGGGAAGAAAUUAAGGAAGCAAGACUGCCCUGGAUUGUCUGUUACCAGGAAGUGGGAGCAAUUUUAUGAUUAGGUAUGUCACCAAAUCUUAUCUAUAUGGAUGACAUACUAGAGUGAGGCUAAUGUAAUUGAGGAUAAGGUAACUGCUAAAGAAACAACAGUCACUUGUAUCUGGUAUGUUGUGAUUUGGACAACGUUCCUGUUUUGUUUAUGCUCAGAUAAAAUUAAGGAUUGUUGUUGUUUUUGUCAUUGUCCAUCA
RNAcentral lists this long non-coding RNA (3799 nucleotides) under Homo sapiens (human). RNAcentral's name for it is "HSALNT0045300". Lineage: Eukaryota; Metazoa; Chordata; Mammalia; Primates; Hominidae. The record is from RNAcentral.